RNAcentral lists this ribosomal RNA (432 nucleotides) under uncultured bacterium. RNAcentral describes it as "partial 16S ribosomal RNA". It matches the Rfam family "Bacterial small subunit ribosomal RNA", at positions 29 to 507 of the family's 1533-position model. The record is from RNAcentral.
AGCGAACGCUGGCGGCAGGCUUAACACAUGCAAGUCGAGCGGCACUUCGGUGUCAGCGGCAGACGGGUGAGUAACACGUGGGAACGUACCCUUCGGUUCGGAAUAACGCUGGGAAACUAGCGCUAAUACCGGAUACGCCCUUUUGGGGAAAGGUUUACUGCCGAAGGAUCGGCCCGCGUCUGAUUAGCUAGUUGGUGGGGUAAUGGCCUACCAAGGCGACGAUCAGUAGCUGGUCUGAGAGGAUGAUCAGCCACACUGGGACUGAGACACGGCCCAGACUCCUACGGGAGGCAGCAGUGGGGAAUAUUGGACAAUGGGCGCAAGCCUGAUCCAGCCAUGCCGCGUGAGUGAUGAAGGCCUUAGGGUUGUAAAGCUCUUUUGUCCGGGACGAUAAUGACGGUACCGGAAGAAUAAGCCCCGGCUAACUUCGUG